Dendrobium catenatum is the source of this 1222-nucleotide RNA transcript. It is a transcript of the gene named non-structural maintenance of chromosomes element 3 homolog, with no coding region annotated. The record is from RefSeq and is a predicted model, not a curated record. The transcript has 9 exons. NCBI's taxonomy places the organism in Eukaryota, Viridiplantae, Streptophyta, Magnoliopsida, Asparagales, Orchidaceae.
UUUAUUAAUCCCGCCCAUCCGCCCCAGUUUCGCCCAUCUCGACGUCUGGACUCUCUGUUCGCAGAAUCGCACUUGCGAUUCUCUCCAUCUCUUGUUCCGACGAACUCGCAAGAUCAGGCCCUUCCCAAAUUGCAAGAGGUCGGCGGCGUUCCCUUCGCAAAUCCUAAGAGGUCGCCGGCCUUGGCUUUCACAAAUCGCAAGAGCUCGCCUUCUUGGUUCGCGGCCAGCAGCCCCCUUCCGCAUUCGGCUUCAUUGAAGAAUGGCAAGUUAUGAAGAUUUAUCACAAAUUAACGUUUCUAAAGAGGAGAAAGACAAACUGGUAGCAGAAGUUAUCCGUUAUGUUCUUUUUAGAACUCACCAUGGCAAUGGAUGCCCCAUAAAGAGGGAAGAACUGACCCAAUUGAUUACUAAAAGCUAUCACCAAAGGUCUCUUCCUACAAUUAUCAUCAAUGAGGCUAGAGAAAAGCUUUCUAUCAUCUUUGGCUAUGAGAUGAAGGAGCUUCAGCGUACUCGUGCUUCCUCUAACAGACGUGCUUCUCAGCAGAGUGUUGUUGACACAAAAUCUUAUAUACUUGAGAGCAAAUUACCUUCUGGUAUCUACAAAAAAUAUGUUGAAGACAAGGGGGCAUCUCAUAUUUCUGGGUUCACGUUUGUAGUGAUCAGCAUCGUUCAUCUCGCUGGUGGUAAAAUCCCUGAAGAAAAUCUAUGGCAUCAUUUAAGGCGGAUGGGAUUUAGUGAGAGUGAUGAGAACCAUCCACUCUUUGGGAACUCCAAGCAAACAUUGGAGCUGCUUGUUCAACAGAGAUAUCUUCAGAAAGAGAAAACUAAUGGCCCUGAAGGAAAUGUUUUCAUUUACGAGCUUGCUGAGAGAACAUUAGAAGGAUCUGUUUAUGAGAAGUUGAAAGAUUCCAUAGUUGAGAUUGUGAGCAAAGAUGCUACUGCCGUUGAAGCUGACUAAAACUUGAUGUAUGCCAAUUUCCGUGCAAGAAGAGAGGGAGAGAGAGAAGAUUGUUCGGUUGGGAAAUGGGUCAGGACCAGUUGAAGUGAGGUUGACAGAGAUCCUCAGAUUUUUUUUUAGAUUUUGUUAUUUUUAUUUUUUAUUUUUGUAGCUAGCUGUUUGUAAUAGAUUAGAGAUAGAGUGGUUUCCUGACUAUCGUAUAUUAAUUUUGGAAGAAUGAAUAUAGUGUAAUAAUUUGAUGUAUGUAAUUAUUAGUUGCUUUUA